CGACACGAGACGUCGUACCGCGUCACCCAUUCACAAGACGUUUCUCAAGGUAACCUGACGACGAAGCCGAUCAACGGGUGCGAUCUUCAUGCUUCCAACCCGCGGCACGGGACAGCUGUUCCUUCAAGAUCAUUCACACGUUCAGUGUGGGCGGACAGAAGCGUCUCUCGGACAGCUCGCCAAGUGGAAGAACGGCGCUGAGGAGGUGGCCGCGCUGCAUCCCCUCUCUCCCCUGUCGAGAGGAGCAGCCUAAGCAGAUCAUCGUCACGCGUAAGGGCAUGCUCGACCCGCUAGAGGUGCAUCUCCUCGACUUCCCCAACAUCGUCAUCAAGGGAAGCGAGCUGCAGCUGCCCUUCCAGGCAUGCCUCAAGUCGUAGAACGCUGGCGAUUUGAAUCCCUCAAGGCCACCGAGCCGCAGAUGGUGCUCUUCAAUCUCUACGACGACUGGCUGAAGACGAUC
Priapulus caudatus is the source of this 460-nucleotide long non-coding RNA. RefSeq lists it as uncharacterized. The record is from RefSeq and is a predicted model, not a curated record. Lineage: Eukaryota; Metazoa; Priapulida; Priapulimorpha; Priapulimorphida; Priapulidae. The transcript has 3 exons.